CUACGGGGGGCACCAGUAGGGAAUAUUGCGCAAUGGAGGAAACUCUGACGCAGCGACGCCGCGUGAGUGAUGAAGGCCCUUGGGUUGUAAAGCUCUGUUCUAUGGGAAUAAGUUCUGAAGGUACCAUAGAAGAAAGGACCGGCUAACUUCGUGCCAGCAGCCGCGGUAAUACGAGGGGUCCUAGCGUUGUUCGGAAUCAUUGGGCGUAAAGCGGGUGUAGGCGGAUUGUUAAGUCAGAAGUGAAAGCCCUGGGCUCAACCCAGGAAGUGCUUUUGAUACUGACAAUCUUGAGUGUGGGAGAGGAUAGUAGAAUUCCUGGUGUAGUGGUGACAUACGUAGAUAUCAGGAGGAACUCCGGUGGGGAAGCCGGCUAUCUGGCCCAACACUGACGCUCAGACCCGAAAGCGUGGGGAGCAAACAGGAUUAGAUACCCUAGUAGUC
Molecule: ribosomal RNA, 441 nt
Filed under: uncultured bacterium
Lineage: Bacteria
Description: partial 16S ribosomal RNA
Rfam family: Bacterial small subunit ribosomal RNA
Source: RNAcentral